CAGAGUUCUAAGCUGUUGGGAAGGAGUUUCCAGGGAGAGUCUGGACCUGAAGGUGAAACUUGGAGGGUGUAUGUGCCUAGACUCUGCCUAGACAGGAUCAUCUUGAAAGCUGACUGCCUCUGAAAGAAACAUCAAGACUGAGAGAAGAUUUCCCAUACAUUUCUGGUGGACAGAGUGUUUAUGAAGGAGUCUUCUCUCUCUCCUCUGGGACACCUGAGGAUCCAAUAGCUGGAUGCCUCUUACUUAAUAUGCCAAGGACUCUACUUGUGAUAUUCUGGUCCCUGUUGAAUUUAUUCUUUAGUUUAGAAAUAACCAACAUAGCUUCAUUGCUCACUGCACUGUCACCACGACAUCCCCCUCCUAACCCUGAUCCUUCUUUCCAUGAAGAUUCACAUUCCAAAGUAGAUCACAGAUCCAUUUGAUUAUUUGAGGACUGUGGAAGAACAAGUUGAUGCAUCACAAAAAGAGAGAGAGUGGGAACAGAUUGCACCGAUAUCCAGAAACUACUAAUCAGUAUCCAAGGAAAUAGAUGUGCUAUGAAGGAUGUAUGGAAAAACACACACAAAAAAAGGCACAGAGG
RNAcentral lists this long non-coding RNA (580 nucleotides) under Monodelphis domestica (gray short-tailed opossum). Its description in RNAcentral is "lncRNA (ENSMODG00000044422.1)". Lineage: Eukaryota; Metazoa; Chordata; Mammalia; Didelphimorphia; Didelphidae. The record is from RNAcentral.